CCUACGGGGGGCAGCAGUGGGGAAUAUUGCACAAUGGGCGGAAGCCUGAUCCAGCGACGCCGCGUGAGUGAAGAAGGAUUUCGGUAUGUAAAGCUCUAUCAGCAGGGAAGAAAAUGACGGUACUUGACUAAGAAGCCCCGGCUAACUACGUGCCAGCAGCCGCGGUAAUACGUAGGGGGCAAGCGUUAUCCGGAUUUACUGGGGGUAAAGGGAGCGUAGGCGGUUCAGCAAGUCUGAUGUGAAAGGUCAGGGCCCAAACCCGGGACUGCUUUGGAAACUGGGGAACUGGAGUACAGGAGAGGGGAGUGGAAUUCCUAGUGUAGCGGUGAAAUGCGUAGAUAUUAGGAGGAACACCAGUGGCGAAGGCGGCUCACUGGACUGUAACUGACGCUGAGGCUCGAAAGCGUGGGGAGCAAACAGGAUUAGAUACCCGUGUAGUC
Molecule: ribosomal RNA, 440 nt
Filed under: uncultured bacterium
Lineage: Bacteria
Description: partial 16S ribosomal RNA
Rfam family: Bacterial small subunit ribosomal RNA
Source: RNAcentral